This 77-nucleotide transfer RNA is filed under the name Paracoccaceae bacterium. Its description in RNAcentral is "Rhodobacteraceae bacterium (marine metagenome) tRNA-Met". It matches the Rfam family "tRNA". From Rfam's summary of the family: Transfer RNA (tRNA) molecules are approximately 80 nucleotides in length. Their secondary structure includes four short double-helical elements and three loops (D, anti-codon, and T loops). Further hydrogen bonds mediate the characteristic L-shaped molecular structure. tRNAs have two regions of fundamental functional importance: the anti-codon, which is responsible for specific mRNA codon recognition, and the 3' end, to which the tRNAs corresponding amino acid is attached (by aminoacyl-tRNA synthetases). tRNAs cope with the degeneracy of the genetic code in two manners: having more than one tRNA (with a specific anti-codon) for a particular amino acid; and 'wobble' base-pairing, i.e. permitting non-standard base-pairing at the 3rd anti-codon position. Lineage: Bacteria; Pseudomonadati; Pseudomonadota; Alphaproteobacteria; Rhodobacterales; Paracoccaceae. RNAcentral also lists the same sequence under 1 other name. The record is from RNAcentral.
GGCGGUAUAGCUCAGUUGGUUAGAGCAGCGGAAUCAUAAUCCGCGUGUCUGGGGUUCGAGUCCCUGUACCGCCACCA